This 94-nucleotide ribosomal RNA is filed under the name uncultured bacterium. RNAcentral describes it as "partial 16S ribosomal RNA". It matches the Rfam family "Bacterial small subunit ribosomal RNA", at positions 397 to 508 of the family's 1533-position model. The record is from RNAcentral.
CCGCGUGAGGGAUGAAGGCUCUCGGGUUGUAAACCUCUUUCAGCAGGAACGAAAUUGACGGUACCUGCAGAAGAAGCUCCGGCCAACUACGUGC